This is a non-coding RNA of Sturnus vulgaris (Common starling), 1228 nucleotides long. NCBI's taxonomy places the organism in Eukaryota, Metazoa, Chordata, Aves, Passeriformes, Sturnidae. The record is from RefSeq and is a predicted model, not a curated record.
CGCUGGCAGCCGAGUGCGGUUUUGUAUCGGAUUUGUAGAAAAGCCGCUGUUCAAGCUGGGGGCGCUCUGUUCCCUAGGUGGGGAAAGUCCUUGAAUUAGCCAAGCUGAGCAGCUGCUGAGAAUUCCGAGCGUCGUGUCCCAGUGAUUCUUGAUACCAUUUUUAAAUAGUUACCAUCGAGUUGAGACAAUAUCAAGUGGAUUUGUUAGAGUGGCAGAAAUUUUUUUUUUGCCUGGAAGUGUGUUGGGAUAGGCAGCCUUCAUUCGUGUCAGAAUGAAUCGGUCUUCCUUCUUUUCACUUUUCUUCUUUCGGGAUUGCCGGGCAUUGGGGAGAAUAUUUGGCAUGAGGAAAUGAAAAGCACGAGGGAAGCUCCAUGUUUAGGCACCUGCAGCUUCUGAACAGAUGAAUUUGACUCAUUAUUGCAGACGUUAGCAGAAAAUUUGGAACUCGAACUGACUUUAAAUACAAGGGUUCUGUAUUUUGUUAUUGCUGUUCAUUAUUGUCUGAAAUACUUUUGAUUAUAUAAUUUUUUAUUAAAUUAUUUUGAAUUUUUUUGUUCAGGUUAUUACUAAACUCAAGAUUUUAACACCACUAGAUAUAAUGAUGUCAAACUGCUUGUGAUGCAGGGAAUAUGCACUAUGAUAAUGGAGCAUUUCAAGUGGGGCUGAUGUAUCAUAGAAAAGGAAAAGAGCACUGUCAGAGAGGACAGCAUUCCUUGGAAUAGCAGGACUUCUCUUCUGCCCUUCACAAAGCAAGAUCCCAAACUGUGUCAUAACCUGUCAAAGAACCGAGGAUAUGCAAGCAACGAUCCCAAACCUGGAAUGGACUGCCCAGGGAGGUUUGGAGUCUCCGUCCCUGGAGGUGUCCAUGGAACAGCUGGAUGUGGCACUCGGUGCUCUGAGCUGGGUGACAAGGUGGGGAUCGGUCAAGGGUUGCACUUGAUGAUCUCGGAGGUCUUUUCUAACCUCUAACUGGGAUUUCCAUAUUUCAAAGGGUUGUCUGCGCUUGUCCAGCUCUAAGCCUGCUGCUCUGCCCUUGCCCGGAAGCUGCCAACACAAUAAACUAGCAAAAGUCAUCGCAUGGUGCUCCUGGGUGUUUCUUUCUGGAAUAAAUGUGAAAACGUGCCUUAGGGGCACGUGUAACAAGUCCCAUUAUGGCUGUUCGUGGGGACAAUUAAGUGGUGAAAGAGCUCAUGCUGCGUGAAUGAACAAGUGAAAUAAAGAAGAAUUC